GUCUGAUAUUUGCCAUUAACUACAAUCUGCAAGAUGUUUAGAAACUUCAAUUGACUAAACUGUUAAUGUCACAAAACUAAUCAGUGAUUGUUCUACUGCAGAAUGAAUUCGAGCUUAGCAGCCACCGAUCAUGAACCGACAGAUGCCAGGAAAUCCUUUCCUUGUUUUGAUGAGUGCAACAAAAAGGCAACUUAUACAAUAUCUUUCACCCAUCCCAAAGGAUCUGAGGCAUUUCAAAUAUGCCAGUGGCGAAAUAAGGGUCCGUGGAUGAAAAAUGGAAUCAAACAACUUUCGAGAAGUCUGGCCCCAUGA
RNAcentral lists this long non-coding RNA (312 nucleotides) under Pan troglodytes (chimpanzee). Its description in RNAcentral is "lncRNA (ENSPTRG00000053065.1)". The record is from RNAcentral. Lineage: Eukaryota; Metazoa; Chordata; Mammalia; Primates; Hominidae.